UACGAAGGGAGCUAGCGUUGUUCGGAAUCACUGGGCGUAAAGCGCACGUAGGCGGAUGUGUCAGUCAGGGGUGAAAUCCCGAGGCUCAACCUCGGAACUGCCUUUGAUACUGGCGAUCUCGAGUUCGGGAGAGGUGAGUGGAACUGCGAGUGUAGAGGUGAAAUUCGUAGAUAUUCGCAAGAACACCAGUGGCGAAGGCGGCUCACUGGCCCGAUACUGACGCUGAGGUGCGAAAGCGUGGGGAGCAAACAGG
RNAcentral lists this ribosomal RNA (253 nucleotides) under uncultured bacterium. RNAcentral describes it as "partial 16S ribosomal RNA". It matches the Rfam family "Bacterial small subunit ribosomal RNA", at positions 524 to 776 of the family's 1533-position model. The record is from RNAcentral.